CGCCAGACUCCUACGGGAGGCAGCAGUGGGGGAUAUUGCACAAUGGAGGAAACUCUGAUGCAGCGACGCCGCGUGAGGGAAGACGGUCUUCGGAUUGUAAACCUCUGUCUUUGGGGAAGAAAAUGACGGUACCCAAAGAGGAAGCUCCGGCUAACUACGUGCCAGCAGCCGCGGUAAUACGUAGGGAGCGAGCGUUGUCCGGAAUUACUGGGUGUAAAGGGAGCGUAGGCGGGAGAGCAAGUCGACUGUGAAAUCUAUGGGCUUAACCCAUAGCUGCGAUCGAAACUGUUCAUCUUGAGUGAAGUAGAGGCAGGCGGAAUUCCUAGUGUAGCGGUGAAAUGCGUAAAUAUUAGGAGGAACACCAGUGGCGAAGGCGGCCUGCUGGGCUUUAACUGACGCUGAGGCUCGAAAGCGUGGGUAGCAAACAGGAUUAGAUACCCGGGUA
RNAcentral lists this ribosomal RNA (445 nucleotides) under uncultured bacterium. RNAcentral describes it as "bacterial SSU rRNA". It matches the Rfam family "Bacterial small subunit ribosomal RNA", at positions 329 to 792 of the family's 1533-position model. The record is from RNAcentral.